RNAcentral lists this ribosomal RNA (445 nucleotides) under uncultured bacterium. RNAcentral describes it as "partial 16S ribosomal RNA". It matches the Rfam family "Bacterial small subunit ribosomal RNA", at positions 354 to 796 of the family's 1533-position model. The record is from RNAcentral.
GUGAGGAAUAUUGGACAAUGGGCGCAAGCCUGAUCCAGCCAUGCCGCGUGCAGGAAGACGCAUCUAUGGUGUGUAAACUGCUUUUGUACGGGAAGAAACACUCCCUCGUGAGGGAGCUUGACGGUACCGUAAGAAUAAGGAUCGGCUAACUCCGUGCCAGCAGCCGCGGUAAUACGGAGGAUCCAAGCGUUAUCCGGAAUCAUUGGGUUUAAAGGGUCCGUAGGCGGUUUAAUAAGUCAGUGGUGAAAGCCCAUCGCUCAACGAUGGAACGGCCAUUGAUACUGUUAGACUUGAAUUACAAGGAAGUAACUAGAAUAUGUAGUGUAGCGGUGAAAUGCUUAGAUAUUACAUGGAAUACCAAAUGCGAAGGCAGGUUACUACUUGUGGAUUGACGCUGAUGGACGAAAGCGUGGGGAGCGAACAGGAUUAGAAACCCCGGUAGUCC